CCCAAAGUGAAUCGCAAUGGACGGCCCAAAUUGGAUCGCGAUGAAUGGUCCAGAUUCACUCUCUAUUCAAUUGCGAUCGGACGGUUCAGAUCAAACGUGAUGAACGAUCCAGAUAAAAAAUAGGUGGAUAUAAAUAACCCCCAUUCACACCAAACCCUAAUCCUAGCCGCAAGAACCCCUCGCCGGAGAAGACAAUCUAAUCGCCAGGAAGCCGACUGCCGCCACUCGCCGCCGCACUGGAAUCCUUUCUGACAGCCAAAAAAGGUAAAAACUUUCCAAUUUGCACGAAAUUCAAUUUUAAGCUCACCCAUGCUCAAAUCGGAGCAAAAAGACCGACCAAUUAACGGAAAAACACCAGCGAAACUCGACGGCGAUGCCGCAGAAAAUUUUACAAAAUGCCUCCGAUGAGGUCCUUCCCGAUUCUCGUUUCGCGUAAUUUUUCUAUUGUUAUGAUCAUCAUUUUCUUCUCUACAGGUUGAUCAAAGCAAAACACCCAACUGCAACGUGAGCUAGAGGAGCCGCCGCAUCGGAGAGCCUCGCCGCCAGUGAGUUUCGAUUUUUCGUAUUUUUUCAGCUAAUCGAGACCCUUUAAC
This 593-nucleotide long non-coding RNA is filed under the name Carica papaya (papaya). RNAcentral's name for it is "long non-coding RNA (CPAP_LNC001855)". Lineage: Eukaryota; Viridiplantae; Streptophyta; Magnoliopsida; Brassicales; Caricaceae. The record is from RNAcentral.